UUCAUCAUGGACAUGCAGCAGCUCGCCUCCUCCCCUCUGCGCCUGCUGGCCUCCUGACAGCAGUGCCUCUGAGUGCAGGACGAGGUCUGCUCUGCUCCCUGUUACCGCCGCUCACACUGCACCAGACAGAGCUAUUCCCCCUUCGUCUCACUGUGGCAUUCGUGUAAAACUGCUUUCCCCAGACAGUUCAUCCGUAGAGGCACGCAAAAGCGCUCUUACCGGCUGCCACUCCUCCUCUCUCCACCGGUACCGGGAGGGACAGUCGGCGGCCCGGCAGCUCUGGCUGGACGCCGGUCGGGACGGCUGCGGGCAGUCGGUCUCCUGCGGGCUCCGGCGGGCUCCGACCUGGCAGAAGACUUCCCGUCGCUGUACUCCGUCGCCGCACGAUGCCGAACACUGAAAAGAAGUCAGUUCUGUCCACAGCCAUUAAGCAAGAGGAUGGAAAUCACAGGAUGUCAAAGGAGAAUGAAGCGAUAAACAUAUCCAGAUGAUCAAGCCAAGUUGCCAGUCUUCCACUUGGGACAUCGGCUACCUCGGCAGCGCCUCUGCUUGCUGGGCUUGGACGACAGGUGCUGGCAGUUCUCCUCUGGGAUCGGACGGCCUGACCGGGUCACGCAGCUCACCUUGCGGUACUUGAACCCUCGGCCACAGGAGGCUGAGCACUGCAAAUCGCAAAAUGUAAGACGGGGGUUACAUAAAGAAGAUUUCAAGAACAGAGUAAUUCAGCAACAUCAAAUCAUUGUGAAUCAAUGUUAUCAACCACGGGUAAGAGAUUAAAACAUGAAUAACUACAAAAACAUAUAUUGUAUUAAAAAGUAAAGCAUUUAAAGCCAGAGAAAUUCAGGCGGUGCUUGUGGAUUUGUUAUUUGGUGGGCAUUUUCCAUAGUAAGUGAGUGAGGUUCACAAAGAACAUAGCAAUGAUAUGUGUCAGGUUUUAAGUUUGAACUGAAAAAAAAACAAACAAAACUUUAAACCAUAAAACAAAAUUACAUCAUUAAAAGCCGAAAACACAACAAUGGUAUCGAAUAAAACA
This is a long non-coding RNA of Myripristis murdjan (pinecone soldierfish), 1033 nucleotides long. RefSeq lists it as uncharacterized. The record is from RefSeq and is a predicted model, not a curated record. The transcript is spliced from 4 exons. Lineage: Eukaryota; Metazoa; Chordata; Actinopteri; Holocentriformes; Holocentridae.